Molecule: ribosomal RNA, 327 nt
Filed under: uncultured eukaryote
Lineage: Eukaryota
Description: partial 18S ribosomal RNA
Rfam family: Eukaryotic small subunit ribosomal RNA
Source: RNAcentral
CCCUUCGAUGUCCUGGGCCGCACGCGGGUUACACUGAGGGCGAUAGUGGGUGUCCGCGACUUUGUGUCGCAUCUCCUCGGCCGGAAGGCCCGGGUAAUCCUAUCAUCGCCCUCGUGCUAGGGAUAGAGCUUUGCAAUUCUAGCUCUUGAACCAGGAAUGCCUUGUAGGUGCGAGUCAUCAACUCGCGCCGAAUACGUCCCCGCCGUUUGUACACACCGCCCGUCGCUACAACCGAUGGUCGGCUUAGUGAGUUGUUUGGAGGGUCACAAUUUAUGUGAUUUGAAGAACCGCGAACUUAUCUGACUAGAGGAUGUAAAAGUCGUAACA